UGAGGAAUAUUGGACAAUGGGCGCGAGCCUGAUCCAGCCAUGCCGCGUGCAGGAAGAAGCAUCUAUGGUGUGUAAACUGCUUUUGUACGGGAGGAAACACUCCUACGUGUAGGAGCUUGACGGUACCGUAAGAAUAAGGAUCGGCUAACUCCGUGCCAGCAGCCGCGGUAAUACGGAGGAUCUAAGCGUUAUCCGGAAUCAUUGGGUUUAAAGGGUCCGUAGGCGGUUUAAUAAGUCAGUGGUGAAAGCCCAUCGCUCUACGAUGGAACGGCCAUUGAUACUGCUAGACUUGAAUUACAAGGAAGUAACUAGAAUAUGUAGUGUAGCGGUGAAAUGCUUAGAUAUUACAUGGAAUACCAAUUGCGAAGGCAGGUUACUACUUGUGGAUUGACGCUGAUGGACGAAAGCGUGGGGAGCGAACA
This 422-nucleotide ribosomal RNA is filed under the name uncultured bacterium. RNAcentral's name for it is "bacterial SSU rRNA". It matches the Rfam family "Bacterial small subunit ribosomal RNA", at positions 355 to 774 of the family's 1533-position model. The record is from RNAcentral.